GACGAAGGGGGCUAGCGUUGUUCGGAAUUACUGGGCGUAAAGCGCGUGUAGGCGGUUAUCCAAGUCGGGUCGUGAAAGCCUUGAGCUCAACUCAAGAAAUGCACUCGGUACUGGGUGACUAGAGGACCGGAGAGGAUAGUGGAAUUCCCAGUGUAGUGGUGAAAUACGUAGAGAUUGGGAAGAACACCAGUGGCGAAGGCGGCUAUCUGGACGGUUUCUGACGCUAAGACGCGAAAGCGUGGGGAGCAAACAGG
RNAcentral lists this ribosomal RNA (254 nucleotides) under uncultured bacterium. RNAcentral describes it as "partial 16S ribosomal RNA". It matches the Rfam family "Bacterial small subunit ribosomal RNA", at positions 524 to 776 of the family's 1533-position model. The record is from RNAcentral.